GGAUCCAGACUUUGAUUCUGGCUCAGGAUUAACGCUGGCGCGCAUGCCUAAGACAUGCAAGUCGAACGGAACCACCCCAACUGAAAUCUGAAUGAAGUCUGAGAGCUUGCUCAAAGAUGGAAUGACGGUGGACGUGGAUUCUGUGUUCAGUGGCGAACGGGUGGAGUAACACGUGGGUUUACCUGCCUCUAAGUUGGGGACAACAGUUGGAAACGACUGCUAAUACCGAAUGUGAUAGUAAUAUUAAAGGAGCCUUUAAAGCUUCGCUUAGAGAUGGGCCUGCGGCGUAUUAGCUAGUUGGUGGGGGUAAUGGCCUACCAAGGCAACGAUGCGUAGCCGGGACUGAGAGGUUGAUCGGCCACACUGGGACUGAGACACGGCCCAGACUCCUACGGGAGACAGCAGUUAGGAAUAUUCGGCAAUGGGGGAAACCCUGACCGAGCAAUGCCGCGUGUGAGAUGAAGGUCCUUCGGAUUGUAAAUCACUUUUAUUUGGGAAGAACUGUAAGUAGAGGAAAUGAUACUUACUUGACGGUACCUUUUGAAUAAGCCCCGGCUAACUACGUGCCAGCAGCCGCGGUAAUACGUAGGGGGCGAGCGUUAUCCGGAUUUAUUGGGCGUAAAGCGUGCGUAGGCGGUUUAUUAAGCCUAGAAUUAAAGCCCGAGGCUUAACCUCGGUUCGUUCUAGAUACUGGUUGACUAGAGUACAGUAGAGGCAAAUGGAAUUCCUAGUGUAGCGGUGGAAUGCGUAGAUAUUAGGAGGAACACCAGUGGCGAAGGCGAUUUGCUGGGCUGUAACUGACGCUGAGGUACGAAAGCGUGGGUAGCAAAUAGGAUUAGAUACCCUAGUAGUCCAC
Molecule: ribosomal RNA, 856 nt
Filed under: uncultured bacterium
Lineage: Bacteria
Description: bacterial SSU rRNA
Rfam family: Bacterial small subunit ribosomal RNA
Source: RNAcentral